Molecule: ribosomal RNA, 406 nt
Filed under: uncultured bacterium
Lineage: Bacteria
Description: partial 16S ribosomal RNA
Rfam family: Bacterial small subunit ribosomal RNA
Source: RNAcentral
GAUGAACGCUAGCUACAGGCUUAACACAUGCAAGUCGAGGGACCGGCGCACGGGUGAGUAACACGUAUCCAACCUGCCCUUUACUCGGGGAUAGCCUUUCGAAAGAAAGAUUAAUACUCGAUAUAAAGGAUGGGGAUGCGUUCCAUUAGGUUGUUGGUGAGGUAACGGCCCACCAAGCCUUCGAUGGAUAGGUGUUCUGAGAGGAAGGUCCCCCACAUUGGAACUGAGACACGGGCCAUACUCCUACGGGAUGUAGCAGUGAGGAAUAUAGGUAAAUGGGCGUUAGCCUGAACCAGCCAAGUAGAGUGAAGGAUGAAGGCUUAUGGGUCGUAAACUUCUUUUAUAGAAGAAUAUGUAUUAUAUGAAUAAGGAUCGGCUAACUCCGUGCCAGCCGCCGCGGUAAUAC